Molecule: transfer RNA, 72 nt
Organism: Ovis aries (sheep)
Lineage: Eukaryota; Metazoa; Chordata; Mammalia; Artiodactyla; Bovidae
Rfam family: tRNA
About the family: Transfer RNA (tRNA) molecules are approximately 80 nucleotides in length. Their secondary structure includes four short double-helical elements and three loops (D, anti-codon, and T loops).
Source: Rfam
UCCCUGCUGGCUCAGCUGGUAAGGAAUCUGUCUGCCAUGCAGGAGACCUGGGUUCGAUCCCUAAGUGGGGAA